RNAcentral lists this ribosomal RNA (496 nucleotides) under uncultured bacterium. RNAcentral describes it as "partial 16S ribosomal RNA". It matches the Rfam family "Bacterial small subunit ribosomal RNA", at positions 29 to 507 of the family's 1533-position model. The record is from RNAcentral.
AUGAACGCUGGCGGCGUGCCUAAUACAUGCAAGUCGAGCGAACGGACGAGAAGCUUGCUUCUCUGAUGUUAGCGGCGGACGGGUGAGUAACACGUGGAUAACCUACCCAUAAGACUGGGAUAACUUCGGGAAACCGUAGCUAAUACCGGAUAAUAUUUUGAACCGCAUGGUUCAAAAGUGAAAGACGGUCUUGCUGUCACUUAUAGAUGGAUCCGCGCUGCAUUAGCUAGUUGGUAAGGUAACGGCUUACCAAGGCAACGAUGCAUAGCCGACCUGAGAGGGUGAUCGGCCACGCUGGAACUGAGACACGGUCCAGACUCCUACGGGAGGCAGCAGUAGGGAAUCUUCCGCAAUGGGCGAAAGCCUGACGGAGCAACGCCGCGUGAGUGAUGAAGGUCUUCGGAUCGUAAAACUCUGUUAUUAGGGAAGAACAUAUGUGUAAGUAACUGUGCACAUCUUGACGGUACCUAAUCAGAAAGCCACGGCUAACUACGUG